This 253-nucleotide ribosomal RNA is filed under the name uncultured bacterium. RNAcentral's name for it is "partial 16S ribosomal RNA". It matches the Rfam family "Bacterial small subunit ribosomal RNA", at positions 524 to 776 of the family's 1533-position model. The record is from RNAcentral.
GACAGAGGGGGCAAGCGUUGCUCGGAAUCACUGGGCGUAAAGGGCGCGUAGGCGGGAUGGCAAGUCGGUCGUGAAAUCCUUCGGCUCAACCGAAGAACGUCGGCCGAUACUGCCGUUCUUGAGGGAUGCAGAGGAGAUUGGAAUUCCCGGUGUAGCGGUGAAAUGUGUAGAGAUCGUGAGGAACACCGGUGGCGAAGGCGGGUCUCUGGGCAUCUCCUGACGCUGAGGCGCGAAAGCGUGGGGAGCAAACGGG